UUGGUCAAUGGGUGCAAGCCUGAACCAGCCAUCCCGCGUGAAGGACGACUGCCCUAUGGGUUGUAAACUUCUUUUGUAUAGGGAUAAACCUACCCUCGUGAGGGUAGCUGAAGGUACUAUACGAAUAAGCACCGGCUAACUCCGUGCCAGCAGCCGCGGUAAUACGGAGGGUGCAAGCGUUAUCCGGAUUUAUUGGGUUUAAAGGGUCCGUCGGCGGACUUAUAAGUCAGUGGUGAAAGCCUGUCGCUUAACGAUAGAGCUGCCAUUGAUACUAUAAGUCUUGAGUGUAUUCGAGGUAGCUGUAAUAAAUAGUGUGGCGAUGAAGUGCAUAGACAUUACUUAGAACACCAAUUGCGAAGUCAGGUUACCAAGAAAUAACUGACGCGGAGGGACGAA
This 396-nucleotide ribosomal RNA is filed under the name uncultured bacterium. Its description in RNAcentral is "bacterial SSU rRNA". It matches the Rfam family "Bacterial small subunit ribosomal RNA", at positions 364 to 757 of the family's 1533-position model. The record is from RNAcentral.